Molecule: non-coding RNA, 662 nt
Organism: Plectropomus leopardus (leopard coralgrouper)
Lineage: Eukaryota; Metazoa; Chordata; Actinopteri; Perciformes; Serranidae
Source: RefSeq, a predicted model, not a curated record
GCUUUUUUGUCACCGCCUCCUGCUGCAGCCGCAUGCUCUCGUGUGCUGUCCACGCGACGCGCAGUUCAGCUCCAGCGAACCGUUUAAGAGUACACUAUCCUCCAUCUAACAAUCACCAAGACCAUCAGCUGAGUCUCUUUUAUUUGGCAGCACUGAUGCAAAAUCUUUCAUAACAUAAGCUAUGAUAAAUCAUGACUUGCACUAAUCUCCUUCCUGUAGUGGUCAGCCUAACCAGUACCGGCCUGCUCUGGGAAUACCCUGGCUGCUGUGUCAUACCAGCUAACCGGAUACAGGCUGAGAAUAGCUGGAGAAGUUUCCCUGGCCUCAGCUUUGUUGUGUAAGGUCAUUCAGCUCAGCCAGGCCCCGAGCAGAGCCAAUAAUGGUCACUGCAUAGAUCUGUUAUGAAGAUGUAGGGAACAGAGAAAAGCAUCCAGCGGCUGGGGUUGCUGUGGCUGCCAAAUAACACAAUAAGAUAAGGCUACCCAGUCCCUUGUGCCGUCCUCCAAUAUCUGCAGCAAUGAGUUAAAGCCUGCUCCUUUUGUUUGCUUGGUGACAUCCCAUGGGCUAUUUAUAGGGACUGUGUUAUUGUGUAAGACCUUGUGAAAGACCCAAAGAGCCAGAGUACCGCCUCCCCACACACACACACACACACACACACACAC